AAUGAACGCUGGCGGCAUGCCUAACACAUGCAAGUCGAACGAAGGCUUCGGCCUUAGUGGCGCACGGGUGCGUAACGCGUGGGAAUCUGCCCUCAGGUUCGGAAUAACAGCGAGAAAUUGCUGCUAAUACCGGAUGAUAUCGCGAGAUCAAAGAUUUAUCGCCUGAGGAUGAGCCCGCGUAGGAUUAGCUAGUUGGUGUGGUAAAGGCGCACCAAGGCGACGAUCCUUAGCUGGUCUGAGAGGAUGAUCAGCCACACUGGGACUGAGACACGGCCCAGACUCCUACGGGAGGCAGCAGUGGGGAAUAUUAGACAAUGGGCGAAAGCCUGAUCCAGCAAUGCCGCGUGAGUGAUGAAGGCCUUAGGGUUAUAAAGCUCUUUUACCCGGGAUGAUAAUGACAGUACUGGGAGAAUAAGCUCCGGCUAACUCCGUGCCAGCCGCCGCCGUAA
Molecule: ribosomal RNA, 449 nt
Filed under: uncultured bacterium
Lineage: Bacteria
Description: partial 16S ribosomal RNA
Rfam family: Bacterial small subunit ribosomal RNA
Source: RNAcentral